Non-coding RNA from Paramuricea clavata, 431 nucleotides. NCBI's taxonomy places the organism in Eukaryota, Metazoa, Cnidaria, Anthozoa, Malacalcyonacea, Plexauridae. The record is from the annotation of a GenBank genome assembly.
CGGAAAGAAAUUUGCCUGACUUUUUCGGAUUGUGCCCGAGUUGUCAUAAACAAAUUUCCAGAGAAACUUUCCGAAAUUGUUGUCAACAGGGGGGGGGGGGAGGAUGCUACGAAAAAUUCCUAUUGGAUAGCAUAUUUCCCACAAAAUUGACAGAAUAAUAAGCCAAUACUGCCCAACUGGCUUUGUUUGCCCAACAAACUGGGGGGGGGGCACACCCAUGGUAGACCCCGGUAGACCCUGCUGCAUCUUACUCAGCACACUAUGUGCUCACUUUCCACCCCUGAAUUUUUCUGCACACCCCCACCCCAAGCAAAAUUUGAAAAUGUCUAUAGAUUAUGGUGAUGAUAACAUAAAAGUAUAAACCUUUAUUACCGUAAGUUAAUGUUAAUUAAUUAAGACUAUUAAGUUAACACAUGCUCCACUACAUCAUG